This 341-nucleotide ribosomal RNA is filed under the name Penicillium polonicum. RNAcentral describes it as "eukaryotic LSU rRNA". The stretch from base 1 to 114 matches the Rfam family "5.8S ribosomal RNA", at positions 40 to 154 of the family's 154-position model. The record is from RNAcentral. Lineage: Eukaryota; Fungi; Ascomycota; Eurotiomycetes; Eurotiales; Aspergillaceae.
AGAACGCAGCGAAAUGCGAUACGUAAUGUGAAUUGCAAAUUCAGUGAAUCAUCGAGUCUUUGAACGCACAUUGCGCCCCCUGGUAUUCCGGGGGGCAUGCCUGUCCGAGCGUCAUUGCUGCCCUCAAGCCCGGCUUGUGUGUUGGGCCCCGUCCUCCGAUUCCGGGGGACGGGCCCGAAAGGCAGCGGCGGCACCGCGUCCGGUCCUCGAGCGUAUGGGGCUUUGUCACCCGCUCUGUAGGCCCGGCCGGCGCUUGCCGAUCAACCCAAAUUUUUAUCCAGGUUGACCUCGGAUCAGGUAGGGAUACCCGCUGAACUUAAGCAUAUCAAUAAGCGGAGGAA